Molecule: ribosomal RNA, 484 nt
Filed under: uncultured bacterium
Lineage: Bacteria
Description: partial 16S ribosomal RNA
Rfam family: Bacterial small subunit ribosomal RNA
Source: RNAcentral
AUUGAACGCUGGCGGCAUGCCUUACACAUGCAAGUCGAACGGCAGCACGGGAGCAAUCCUGGUGGCGAGUGGCGAACGGGUGAGUAAUACAUCGGAACGUGCCCAGUAGUGGGGGAUAACCCGGCGAAAGCCGGACUAAUACCGCAUACGACCUACGGGUGAAAGCGGGGGAUCGCAAGACCUCGCGCUAUCGGAGCGGCCGAUGUCAGAUUAGCUAGUUGGUGGGGUAAAGGCCUACCAAGGCGACGAUCUGUAGCUGGUCUGAGAGGACGACCAGCCACACUGGGACUGAGACACGGCCCAGACUCCUACGGGAGGCAGCAGUGGGGAAUUUUGGACAAUGGGCGCAAGCCUGAUCCAGCCAUGCCGCGUGCGGGAAGAAGGCCUUCGGGUUGUAAACCGCUUUUGUCAGGGAAGAAACGCUCCGGGCUGAUACCACGGAGUAAUGACGGUACCUGAAGAAUAAGCACCGGCUAACUACGUG